CGGGACGGGUGAGUAAUGCUUGGGAAUCUGGCUUAUGGAGGGGGAUAACUACGGGAAACUGUAGCUAAUACCGCGUAGUAUCGGAAGAUGAAAGUGCGGGACCGUAAGGCCGCAUGCCAUGGGAUGAGCCCAAGUGGGAUUAGGUAGUUGGUGGGGUAAAGGCCUACCAAGCCUGCGAUCUCUAGCUGGUCUGAGAGGAUGGCCAGCCACACUGGAACUGAGACACGGUCCAG
Molecule: ribosomal RNA, 233 nt
Filed under: uncultured bacterium
Lineage: Bacteria
Description: partial 16S ribosomal RNA
Rfam family: Bacterial small subunit ribosomal RNA
Source: RNAcentral